This 497-nucleotide ribosomal RNA is filed under the name uncultured bacterium. RNAcentral's name for it is "partial 16S ribosomal RNA". It matches the Rfam family "Bacterial small subunit ribosomal RNA", at positions 28 to 507 of the family's 1533-position model. The record is from RNAcentral.
GAUGAACGCUGGCGGCGUGCCUAAUACAUGCAAGUCGAGCGAACGGACGAGAAGCUUGCUUCUCUGAUGUUAGCGGCGGACGGGUGGGUAACACGUGGAUAACCUACCUAUAAGACUGGGAUAACUUCGGGAAACCGGAGCUAAUACCGGAUAAUAUUUUGAACCGCAUGGUUCAAAAGUGAAAGACGGUCUUGCUGUCACUAAUAGAUGGAUCCGCGCUGCAUUAGCUAGUUGGUAAGGUAACGGCUUACCAAGGCAACGAUGCGUAGCCGAUCUGAGAGGGUGAUCAGCCACACUGGAACUGAGACACGGUCCAGACUCCUACGGGAGGCAGCAGUAGGGAAUAUUCCGCAAUGGGCGAAAGCCUGACGGAGCAACGCCGCGUGAGUGAUGAAGGUCUUCGGAUCGUAAAACUCUGUUAUUAGGGAAGAACAUAUGUGUAAGUAACUGUGCACAUCUUGACGGUACCUAAUCAGAAAGCCACGGCUAACUACGUG